Molecule: ribosomal RNA, 445 nt
Filed under: uncultured bacterium
Lineage: Bacteria
Description: SSU rRNA
Rfam family: Bacterial small subunit ribosomal RNA
Source: RNAcentral
AGAACGAACGCUGGCGGCAUGCCUAACACAUGCAAGUCGAACGAGACCUUCGGGUCUAGUGGCGCACGGGUGCGUAACGCGUGGGAAUCUGCCCUUGGGUCCGGAAUAACUCAGAGAAAUUUGAGCUAAUACCGGAUGAUGACGUAAGUCCAAAGAUUUAUCGCCCAGGGAUGAGCCCGCGUAAGAUUAGGUAGUUGGUGAGGUAAAGGCUCACCAAGCCGACGAUCUUUAGCUGGUCUGAGAGGAUGAUCAGCCACACUGGGACUGAGACACGGCCCAGACUCCUACGGGAGGCAGCAGUGGGGAAUAUUGGACAAUGGGCGAAAGCCUGAUCCAGCAAUGCCGCGUGAGUGAUGAAGGCCUUAGGGUUGUAAAGCUCUUUACCCGGGAUGAUAAUGACAGUACCGGGAGAAUAAGCCCCGGCUAACUCCGCGCCAGCAGCCGC